CCCCACAUGUAUGCUCAGGGCUGCUGUCGUCGCAGGGGAAUCCGGUGCGAAUCCGGAACUGUCCCGCAACGGUGUGAAGUGCACCCCCAUCGUGCAUCCGCAAGUCCGAGGACCUGCCGACAGUGCGCCCGGCUC
This 135-nucleotide non-coding RNA is filed under the name Streptomyces sp. The record is from RNAcentral. Lineage: Bacteria; Bacillati; Actinomycetota; Actinomycetes; Kitasatosporales; Streptomycetaceae. RNAcentral also lists the same sequence under 1 other name.